CUUAGUUGCCCUCUCUCAGGUGAGCAUCCACACAGAGAACAGAGAAGAAGAAGGUGGAGGAAAGAGCAGUGGCGGUAGCGGCGGUGCAGCGCGGUGGCGAUUUGGGUAAUUAGAGGAUAUAUGGCUCCAGGCUCCAGAGUAUGCCAUGAAUGGCCUGUAUUCUACAAAAUCUGAUGUCUACAGCUUUGGUAUUUUAUUGUUGGAAAUCAUUGGCGGCCAACUGGAAGUACGUUUUCUAGCAACCCAUUAGGGUCCUGGUCUUGUUGAGCAUGCAUGGAGCUUGUGGCGUGAAGGGAAAGGGACAGAGCAUCGAUCCAGUCCUUAAAGAUAGUUCUACUUCAACAAGUGAUCAAAUGCUAAGGUGUUUGCAUAUUGCCUUUCUUUGCAUUCAAGAAGAUGCUGCAACCAGGCCAUCCAUGUCCACGGUAGUUCUCAUGCUUGGGAACAAUUCUUUGGACCUUCCCUUGCCCACACAACCUGCACUUAUUUUAGAAAAAAUUGCAGGAUCAAGCCGACCACAUUCUUCUGUUGUAUGGACUACUGCUUCUAAAAGGACGGCAGAGUGAAAGCAACAAAAGUUUCACCCAGGAUGUAUGUGAACAUGGAAAACAUUCUGCUAAUGUACGAAAAUCAUGCAUUGGAGAAGUGAACAUAUGCCUAAUGGAAUUUACCUGAUUCGAUAUAUUUAUUACUUCA
Molecule: long non-coding RNA, 696 nt
Organism: Nymphaea colorata (pocket water lily)
Lineage: Eukaryota; Viridiplantae; Streptophyta; Magnoliopsida; Nymphaeales; Nymphaeaceae
Exons: 3
Source: RefSeq, a predicted model, not a curated record